CUUUUGGGUGUGACUGCGUACCUUUUGUAUAAUGGGUCAGCGACUUAUAUUCUGUAGCAAGGUUAACCGAAUAGGGGAGCCGGAGGGAAACCGAGUCUUAAUUGGGCGUUAAGUUGCAGGGUAUAGACCCGAAACCCGGUGAUCUAGCCAUGGGCAGGUUGAAGGUUGGGUAACACUAACUGGAGGACCGAACCGACUAAUGUUGAAAAAUUAGCGGAUGACCUGUGGCUGGGGGUGAAAGGCCAAUCAAACCGGGAGAUAGCUGGUUCUCCCCGAAAGCUAUUUAGGUAGCGCCUCGUGAAUUCAUCUCCGGGGGUAGAGCACUGUUUCGGCUAGGGGGCCAUCCCGGCUUACCAACCCGAUGCAAACUGCGAAUACCGGAGAAUGUUAUCACGGGAGACACACGGCGGGUGCUAACGUCCGUCGUGAAGAGGGAAACAACCCAGACCGCCAGCUAAGGUCCCAAAGUCAUGGUUAAGUGGGAAACGAUGUGGGAAGGCCCAGACAGCCAGGAUGUUGGCUUAGAAGCAGCCAUCAUUUAAAGAAAGCGUAAUAGCUCACUGGUCGAGUCGGCCUGCGCGGAAGAUGUAACGGGGCUAAACCAUGCACCGAAGCUGCGGCAGCGACACUCAGGUGUUGUUGGGUAGGGGAGCGUUCUGUAAGCCUGUGAAGGUGUGUCGUGAGGCAUGC
Molecule: ribosomal RNA, 690 nt
Filed under: Salmonella enterica subsp. enterica serovar Bareilly
Lineage: Bacteria; Pseudomonadati; Pseudomonadota; Gammaproteobacteria; Enterobacterales; Enterobacteriaceae
Description: partial 23S ribosomal RNA
Rfam family: Bacterial large subunit ribosomal RNA
Source: RNAcentral